RNAcentral lists this ribosomal RNA (253 nucleotides) under uncultured bacterium. RNAcentral's name for it is "partial 16S ribosomal RNA". It matches the Rfam family "Bacterial small subunit ribosomal RNA", at positions 524 to 776 of the family's 1533-position model. The record is from RNAcentral.
UACAGAGGGUGCAAGCGUUAAUCGGAAUGACUGGGCGUAAAGGGCACGUAGGCGGAUAGAUGUGUCAUAGGUGAAAUCCCCGGGCUUAACCUGGGAACUGCCUGUGAAACUGUGUAUCUAGAAUAUAGGAGAGGGAAGUGGAAUUUCCGGUGUAGCGGUGAAAUGCGUAGAUAUCGGAAAGAACACCAGUGGCGAAGGCGACUUCCUGGUCUAAUAUUGACGCUGAGGUGCGAAAGCGUGGGGAGCAAACAGG